RNAcentral lists this transfer RNA (74 nucleotides) under Arothron mappa (map puffer). Its description in RNAcentral is "tRNA-Leu". It matches the Rfam family "tRNA". Rfam says of the family: Transfer RNA (tRNA) molecules are approximately 80 nucleotides in length. Their secondary structure includes four short double-helical elements and three loops (D, anti-codon, and T loops). Further hydrogen bonds mediate the characteristic L-shaped molecular structure. tRNAs have two regions of fundamental functional importance: the anti-codon, which is responsible for specific mRNA codon recognition, and the 3' end, to which the tRNAs corresponding amino acid is attached (by aminoacyl-tRNA synthetases). tRNAs cope with the degeneracy of the genetic code in two manners: having more than one tRNA (with a specific anti-codon) for a particular amino acid; and 'wobble' base-pairing, i.e. permitting non-standard base-pairing at the 3rd anti-codon position. Lineage: Eukaryota; Metazoa; Chordata; Actinopteri; Tetraodontiformes; Tetraodontidae. The record is from RNAcentral.
GUUAGAGUGGCAGAGCCCGGCAAAUGCAAAAGACCUAAGCCCUUUGAACAGAGGUUCAAAUCCUCUCCCUAACU